AGAACGAACGCUGGCGGCAGGCUUAACACAUGCAAGUCGAGCGCCCAGCAAUGGGAGCGGCGGACGGGUGAGUAACACGUGGGAACAUGCCCUUUGGUACGGGACAACUCAGGGAAACUUGAGCUAAUACCGUAUGUGCCGGUAACGGGAAAGAUUUAUCGCCAAAGGAAUGGCCCGCGUCCGAUUAGCUAGUUGGUGAGGUAAUGGCUCACCAAGGCACCGAUCGGUAGCUGGUUUGAGAGAACGACCAGCCACACUGGGACUGAGACACGGCCCAGACUCCUACGGGAGGCAGCAGUGGGGAAUCUUGGACAAUGGGGGCAACCCUGAUCCAGCCAUGCCGCGUGAGUGAUGAAGGCCUUCGGGUUGUAAAACUCUUUCGACGGGGACGAUAAUGACGGUACCGUAGAAGAAGCUCCGGCUAACUUCGUGCCAGCAGCCGC
RNAcentral lists this ribosomal RNA (443 nucleotides) under uncultured bacterium. Its description in RNAcentral is "SSU rRNA". It matches the Rfam family "Bacterial small subunit ribosomal RNA", at positions 26 to 518 of the family's 1533-position model. The record is from RNAcentral.